Molecule: long non-coding RNA, 793 nt
Organism: Oenanthe melanoleuca
Lineage: Eukaryota; Metazoa; Chordata; Aves; Passeriformes; Muscicapidae
Exons: 5
Source: RefSeq, a predicted model, not a curated record
CGGCCCGGGACGCUGAGGGCCUGCGGCCGGUCCAGGGAAUGGCGCUGGAGCAGCAGAGGGAACUGGGGGUGUUUGGCCCGGAGAAAAAGGGUCUUGGGGGCACCUUAACACCCUUCAACUCCUGAAAGGAGGCGGUAGCCAGGGAGAAGGUCUCUGGAUCUUAUGACAAGAAAAGAGGCACUGCAGCUACUCCGAGCCCCGUGACAGGCACAGCACCAACCCAUGCUGAUAUCAGCUGCCCCUGGACACGAGAAGACAUGGAUGCAAAAGUCACCUUGUUUACUAAAGGAGAACAAGCUGAGGUCACCCCAAGAACAUGAGGAAGAGGCAGAACAAGUUCUUCCCACCAAGGGUGGGGGGAGAGUGAGCAAUCAGAUGCAUGAUACUUAGUUGCCAGCUGAGGUUAACCACAACUCCGUCACUUGAAAUUAGAGGAUAACAUUCGGUAAAACACUAGUAAGCCUCGCCAUGAAAUCUUUAUAUCAUCCUGAAUGUCUGUCAUUUCUUUGGUCUGUUUGAACAGCCUUGAAGUCAGCAACAGAAGUUGUACCACUGAUGGAACAACCACGUGAUACCUCACAACUCUGAAAAGAUGCGUAACAUCAAUUUGUGACACACCCAUGGCAGUCUUCAGAAUACAAGCUAAAUCCUCUUCUGUUACAGUUCCUCCUUCUGACUGGUACAGCUAUGGAUCAAGACAACAAGAUAAAUCAUUGCAAAGCUGAAUGCCAACUCCUAUAAACAGCACUACUUUGAAGUAAAGCAAAAUAAAAACUUGAUAUUAGAAAUUCUA